This 496-nucleotide ribosomal RNA is filed under the name uncultured bacterium. RNAcentral describes it as "partial 16S ribosomal RNA". It matches the Rfam family "Bacterial small subunit ribosomal RNA", at positions 28 to 506 of the family's 1533-position model. The record is from RNAcentral.
GAUGAACGCUGGCGGCGUGCCUAAUACAUGCAAGUCGAGCGAACGGACGAGAAGCUUGCUUCUCUGAUGUUAGCGGCGGACGGGUGAGUAACACGUGGAUAACCUACCUAUAAGACUGGGAUAACUUCGGGAAACCGUAGCUAAUACCGGAUAAUAUUUUGAACCGCAUGGUUCAAAAGUGAAAGACGGUCUUGCUGUCACUUAUAGAUGGAUCCGCGCUGCAUUAGCUAGUUGGUAAGGUAACGGCUUACCAAGGCAACGAUGCAUAGCCGACCUGAGAGGGUGAUCGGCCACACUUGAACUGAGACACGGUCCAGAAUCCUACGGGAGGCAGCGGUAGGUAAUCUUCCGCAAUGGGCGAAAGCCUGACGGAGCAACGCCGCGUGAGUGAUGAAGGUCUUCGGAUCGUAAAACUCUGUUAUUAGGGAAGAACAUAUGUGUAAGUAACUGUGCACAUCUUGACGGUACCUAAGCAGAAAGCCACGGCUAACUACGU